This 377-nucleotide unclassified non-coding RNA is filed under the name Hevea brasiliensis (rubber tree). Lineage: Eukaryota; Viridiplantae; Streptophyta; Magnoliopsida; Malpighiales; Euphorbiaceae. The record is from RNAcentral.
GUCAUCAUUCACAUCUUCUUCUAUUACUUCAAAUCAGGGAUCUUGAAGGAGUCAACCUUAAGCAAUAUCAUGCUCUCAGUUGAAUUUGGUUGACCAUUUCUAGUCCACUAUCACAUGACAGAUUCCUGUUGAAGAAAGGUUCUAAGAGGACUUGUCAGAGAAGCUCUACUGUCUAAAAUCUAUAUUACAACUUUCCUGAAUUAGAUUUCUCUGUCUAAAGUCAAAAGGUUACAUUCAUCAGUGUAACAUCUAUUCUAAUAGAAAAUAAAUAGAAUGCCAAAUUAUGUGGCAUAAUAUCAUAAAACCUCAUUUAUUUCAGAAAGAAAAGAUUUCUCAUAAUUCAUAUAUAAAGCCAGUAAGAUCUCUUCAUAUAUUUG